Molecule: ribosomal RNA, 253 nt
Filed under: uncultured bacterium
Lineage: Bacteria
Description: partial 16S ribosomal RNA
Rfam family: Bacterial small subunit ribosomal RNA
Source: RNAcentral
UACGUAGGGUGCGAGCGUUGUCCGGAAUUAUUGGGCGUAAAGAGCGUGUAGGCGGCCACGCAGGUCCGUUGUGAAAACUGGAGGCUCAACCUCCAGACGUCGACGGAAACCGUGUGGCUAGAGUCCGGAAGAGGAGAGUGGAAUUCCUGGUGUAGCGGUGAAAUGCGCAGAUAUCAGGAAGAACACCAAUGGCGAAGGCAGCUCUCUGGGACGGUACUGACGCUGAGACGCGAAAGCGUGGGGAGCGAACAGG